GGUUCGAUCCUGGNAGGNNGAACGCUGGCGGCGUGCUUAACACAUGCAAGUCGAACGGGAUCCAUCAGGCUUUGCUUGGUGGUGAGAGUGGCGAACGGGUGAGUAAUGCGUGACCGACCUGCCCCAUACACCGGAAUAGCUCCUGGAAACGGGUGUAAUGCCGGAUGCUCCGACUCCUCGCAUGGGGUGUCGGGAAAGAUUAUAUCGGUAUGGGAUGGGGUCGCGUCCUAUCAGGUAGUCGGCGGGGUAACGGCCCACCGAGCCUACGACGGGUAGCCGGCCUGAGAGGGCGACCGGCCACAUGGGACUGAGAUACGGCCCAGACUCCUACGGGAGGCAGCAGUGGGGAAUAUUGCACAAUGGGCGCAAGCCUGAUGCAGCGACGCCGCGUGCGGGAUGGCGGCCUUCGGGCUGUAAACCGCUUUUGAUCGGGAGCAAGCCUUCGGGUGAGUGUACCUUUCGAAUAAGCACCGGCUAACUACGUGCCAGCAGCCGCGGUAAUACGUAGGGUGCAAGCGUUAUCCGGAAUUAUUGGGCGUAAAGGGCUCGUAGGCGGUUCGUCGCGUCCGGUGUGAAAGUCCAUCGCUUAACGGUGGAUCUGCGCCGGGUACGGGCGGGCUGGAGUGCGGUAGGGGAGACUGGAAUUCCCGGUGUAACGGUGGAAUGUGUAGAUAUCGGGAAGAACACCAAUGGCGAAGGCAGGUCUCUGGGCCGUUACUGACGCUGAGGAGCGAAAGCGUGGGGAGCGAACAGGAUUAGAUACCCUGGUAGUCCACGCCGUAAACGGUGGAUGCUGGAUGUGGGGCCCGUUCCACGGGUUCCGUGUCGGAGCUAACGCGUUAAGCAUCCCGCCUGGGGAGUACGGCCGCAAGGCUAAAACUCAAAGAAAUUGACGGGGGCCCGCACAAGCGGCGGAGCAUGCGGAUUAAUUCGAUGCAACGCGAAGAACCUUACCUGGGCUUGACAUGUUCCCGACAGCCGUAGAGAUAUGGCCUCCCUUCGGGGCGGGUUCACAGGUGGUGCAUGGUCGUCGUCAGCUCGUGUCGUGAGAUGUUGGGUUAAGUCCCGCAACGAGCGCAACCCUCGCCCUGUGUUGCCAGCACGUCAUGGUGGGAACUCACGGGGGACCGCCGGGGUCAACUCGGAGGAAGGUGGGGAUGACGUCAGAUCAUCAUGCCCCUUACGUCCAGGGCUUCACGCAUGCUACAAUGGCCGGUACAACGGGAUGCGACACGGCGACGUGGAGCGGAUCCCUGAAAACCGGUCUCAGUUCGGAUUGGAGUCUGCAACCCGACUCCAUGAAGGCGGAGUCGCUAGUAAUCGCGGAUCAGCAACGCCGCGGUGAAUGCGUUCCCGGGCCUUGUACACACCGCCCGUCAAGUCAUGAAAGUGGGUAGCACCCGAAGCCGGUGGCCUAACCCUUUGUGGAUGGAGCCGUCUAAGGUGAGACUCGUGAUUGGGACUAAGUCGUAACAAGGUAACCAA
This 1485-nucleotide ribosomal RNA is filed under the name uncultured bacterium. RNAcentral describes it as "bacterial SSU rRNA". It matches the Rfam family "Bacterial small subunit ribosomal RNA". The record is from RNAcentral.